UCCUGGGAGGUGAGUGGCCUGGCAAGUGCGCAGCUCAGUGCCGUCCAGUGUCCUCGUGAGCGGUGACGCGACCUUGUGUCUUCGUGUUAUUUGUUUCGUGCGGCUGACUGUGUUUUUUGACGCCCUUCUCCCGUCACGCACACACUUGACAUUGUGAGAAGAGACAAGUGGAGGUGGGAGACAGUCAAGUGUGGAACGUUGGACCGUGUUACUACAGCAUGUCUCUGUGCAACCACCAUAGCCCAUAGUCUUCAGAUUGACCCUUUAACCAGUGCUUCUAUAUUACACCACCACCACCACCACUAUCACCACUAUUAGCACCUCCACUUCAGCUACAAGAAAGCAGCGAGUAACACUUAGAAACUCUACAGAACGAACACAUCACUCAACGCUGCAUUUGAGCAACACCGCAGUCACCACAGCGCUUCACUGCAACCCGGGCACCACCUCACGCAGCGCCUCACGACUCCCUCACCACAACACGAAGACUCUACUUGGGAUAUUUCAUGAAAUAGAAUAAUUCUUGAGGCUUGAAAAUAGUUAUUAGUCGAUUAUUCUUUUUUUGUUUUCCAACGCAUACUAUUUAUUUCCUUUGGUUUGUCUCGAAGAUUCGGCAAUGCGUGGGCUUUCUGUGAUAACCUUGUUUGUUGAUUAUUAUUGUUGUUCACUGUUACGUAAGUGUAGAGGGAAGGCGUGGCCUUGCUCUGCUGACUGGAAUAAACCUUGAGUUG
Scylla paramamosain (green mud crab) is the source of this 731-nucleotide long non-coding RNA. RefSeq lists it as uncharacterized. The transcript has 3 exons. The record is from RefSeq and is a predicted model, not a curated record. Lineage: Eukaryota; Metazoa; Arthropoda; Malacostraca; Decapoda; Portunidae.